AAAGCGGUACGUGAGCUGGGUUUAGACCGUCGUGAGACAGGUCGGUCCCUAUCUGGUGUGGGUGUAGGAUGAUUGAGAAGAUUUACCCCUAGUACGAGAGGAUUGGGGUGGACGAACCUCUGGUGCACCAGUUGUCACGGGAGUGGCACUGCUGGGUAGCUAAGUUCGGAAAGGAUAAGCGCUGAAUGCAUAUAAGCGCGAAGCCCUCUUCAAGACGAAUCAUCCCCAUGAGCCCCCUGAGAGACUAUCAGGUGAUAGGCCGGCGGUGGAAGCACAGCGAUGUGUUAUGAGCUAACCGGUACUAAUUGGGCCAUAGGCUUAACCACC
Molecule: ribosomal RNA, 327 nt
Filed under: Planctomycetota bacterium
Lineage: Bacteria; Pseudomonadati; Planctomycetota
Description: partial 23S ribosomal RNA
Rfam family: Bacterial large subunit ribosomal RNA
Source: RNAcentral